RNAcentral lists this long non-coding RNA (351 nucleotides) under Rosa chinensis. RNAcentral describes it as "sRNA RchiOBHm_Chr4g0400361". The record is from RNAcentral. Lineage: Eukaryota; Viridiplantae; Streptophyta; Magnoliopsida; Rosales; Rosaceae.
GAUCCUAUAGAACACAGACAAAAAAAGGAAGAGAGAAGAGAGUUAUCUCAUGUCAUUUGCAGGUAGCUGUUGCUUUAGAGAAAGUUGCACUAUCCGAUGAGUAUUUUGUCAAGAGAAAGCUGUAUCCAAAUGUUGAUUUCUACUCUGGGUUCAGAUAUAGCUUUGCAGGUCCUUAUCACACCGCACACAUCAUGGCAAGUCAAUCCAAACAAUUGAUGAGUCCAGAGAAGUUGGAGGCUGUUGAGAAAAAAAACCAUCUCGAAAUUAAACAUCUUCGAUCCAGCUGUAUAUGAGCAAGAAGAGGGAGCAAAAGGAUGUUGGGGAUUGUGUACUUUUGAAGUACCCAUAUGA